CAAGUCUCCAUUGUUAACACUACAUUUAGUAUGGCCUCCUUACGAGUUUGUUCCUCAACGACUUGUUUUAGAGACAAUCCCAGUAGGGAGUUUAGAAUAUGUGUGCUCCUGGCACAAGCAGCUAUUUUGGUUUUCCAGUUCACAUCAGGAAAAUGAAAGUCACCCAUGAUGAAAGCCAAAAAGAAAAAUGAAGAGAAGUUAUUUCCUAUUUUUACUAGUAGAUUAUCUAACUCUUCUAUUUGUCCUCGGGGUCUAUAAAUCACACUUACACGAGUUACUGUGUGAUUACCAAAUUCUAACGUAACCCAAACUGACUCUAUGUGAUAUAAUUUGAGAGAACUGCCUGAUAGCCCAAGCAGAAAGUCCAGAAAAUGUAAUCUGCAAACCCUAUAUUUGACCCUGUAACUUUCCAAAA
Non-coding RNA from Pelobates cultripes (western spadefoot toad), 415 nucleotides. Lineage: Eukaryota; Metazoa; Chordata; Amphibia; Anura; Pelobatidae. The record is from the annotation of a GenBank genome assembly.